RNAcentral lists this ribosomal RNA (392 nucleotides) under uncultured bacterium. RNAcentral's name for it is "partial 16S ribosomal RNA". It matches the Rfam family "Bacterial small subunit ribosomal RNA", at positions 523 to 917 of the family's 1533-position model. The record is from RNAcentral.
AUACGGAGGAUGCGAGCGUUAUCCGGAUUUAUUGGGUUUAAAGGGAGCGUAGGUGGGAUAUUAAGUCAGCUGUGAAAGUUUGGGGCUCAACCUUAAAAUUGCAGUUGAUACUGGUUUCCUUGAGUACGGUACAGGUGGGCGGAAUUCGUGGUGUAGCGGUGAAAUGCUUAGAUAUCACGAAGAACUCCGAUCGCGAAGGCAGCUCACCGGGCCGGAACUGACACUGAUGCUCGAAAGUGCGGGUAUCAAACAGGAUUAGAUACCCUGGUAGUCCGCACAGGAAACGAUGAAUACUCGCUGUUUGCGAUACACUGUAAGCGGCCAAGCGAAAGCGUUAAGUAUUCCACCUGGGGAGUACGCCGGCAACGGUGAAACUCAAAUGAAUUGACGGG